This 372-nucleotide long non-coding RNA is filed under the name Daucus carota (carrot). RNAcentral describes it as "long non-coding RNA (DCAR_LNC004951)". Lineage: Eukaryota; Viridiplantae; Streptophyta; Magnoliopsida; Apiales; Apiaceae. The record is from RNAcentral.
AGGAUCCGAACCAGAAGGCGAUGAAGUUUAAUUUGCCGGAGGAUGAUGAUUUUAGUGAUGAUUACGACGAUGAGGAUGAUUAUGAUGAUGAGGAUGAUUAUGAUGAUGAUGAUCUAGAUGAUCUAGAUGAUGAUUUGGAUGAUGCUCCUCCACUUAAUAAGAUGAAACCUAUGAUGAAUCAAGGUGGGGGUGGGCAGAUGCCUCCGAAUAUGAUGAUGAGCGGGAUGAAGCCUGGCCAGCUUCCGCCACACCUCAUGAAAGGUCCUCCUCCUGGUGGUAAUAACGGUGGAAAUGGUGGCGGAAAUGGCAAGAAAGGUGGUGGGGGAAAUAUUCCUGUUCAGAUGAAUGCUAAUGGUGGAAAGAAAGGUGGUG